Molecule: RNA transcript, 3317 nt
Organism: Apis mellifera (honey bee)
Lineage: Eukaryota; Metazoa; Arthropoda; Insecta; Hymenoptera; Apidae
Exons: 4
Source: RefSeq, a predicted model, not a curated record
CCCCCACCCCGGCCAGGGGACUCCGGGGAUCGAUCGGAUUUUUCUGCACUGUCAUCCACCGUUUUUCCCUCCUUUCUUCGAUCUUCCUCUUCGAUCUCUCUUUUCUCUCUUUCUCUCUCUCUCUUUCUCUGUCUUCUUUUCGAAACGCGCCAAUUUCGACCCCUGGAGCGUCGGUCGCCUCCGUUCGAAUUUUGCGAGAAUGGAAAGAAAUUUGCAAUUGCAAGCAAGGAUUGUCGAGGAUUAAUAAUAAUAAUAAUAAUAAUAAUAGUUGCUUUCUGUGUAGAAGGAAAGGAGAGAGCGCAGUUUCGAGCACGUUCGAUCGAAGUGUAGUAUAUAGGAUGUUGGGUGCAGAAGAAAAAUUAAUGAAAAAUAAGGAAGGAGUAAACAAUGGGUGAGGUCAGACACGAAAUCGUGGCCGGAUCGUGGACGAGAACCGAUAAGGAACAAUGCCGGCGCAGUGUUUUCCCGGGGAGAGGCGAUUAGUCUCGUGACGCGUAUCGCUUGUCGAAAGGUCAUUAAAACCGGCUGGUCGCGAUCGAGGGAAGUGGCAAUGGUAAUUUCUAGACAGGGACGCACGUACACAUUGAACGUGGCGCGAACGUCAUCGGGACUUAUAUCACGUUCUUCGAAAAUAGCCGAGUGCCACCGUGCGUCGAGUGCGGACUGACGCACGCGCGCACCACUGGCACGUGCCUCCUACUCCCUCCCCGACUCUUUCGAAAUUACUCUUUCUACUUGUGCGACCGAUUAAACGCGCGCCACGGCAUUUAUCUCGGCGCAUACGUGCACGUAUGCCCGGCACGAAACACGGAUACGUUGUAUUUCUUCCGAUAUGCCGUGCAACCGUUUCGUUAAUUGAUAUCGGACCCGAUAGAACCUGGUCCGGGUUCGUAAGUUUUUCGUAAGCUACGAAAUUCUUGAUUUUUUACUCUCUCUCUCUCUCUUUCCAAUUUUGAAUGGAAAAUUUUGAAAAGAAAUUUCUAGAAAAAAGAAAAAAAUGAUGGACAAAUUACACGUUUUAAAAAUAAUUGUGGAUUGGUGGAUAUGGAAUCAGUAACAAGUAUCACUCUUGUUGGAGAAAUUUUGAGAUCUUUUUUGUAAUUUUAUAAUUUUAUAAAUAGCACGAGGAUGCACAUUUAUAAGAAUAUGGGAGGAAGGGAUUAAUUAGUUUUAUUACGAAUUGUAAAAAUUUACACUCGUGGAACAAAAUAUUAAAAUUAUACGGGCAAGUGGUGAUAUUGCCCACACUCUAUCUCCGGGAAAUAUCAACGACCCCGAAUAGAAUCAGAGGUUUUCUGCGUAGAAAACGUCGCAUCGCAAUACCCCGGUUCCUAUUCCAUUUCCGCAACAAGAAUCGCGUUUCCUCGAUAACGAAUCGCUUAGCGAAGCGUCACUCGAACCAACUCGUGUACACCGAUUCCCCGGCUAUCUGCUGGGAGUAUCUCUGGCUGAGAGCACGGACGUGUCAAAGGCUCGGCGGGCAGAUAAUCAGCGGAGCCGGCGCGCGGAUGGUUCCGGCGCCGAGUGAAGUCAGCCAAGUAUUCCAAUCGCUGAACUCUGCCGGUCUGCAAAGGGUGGGAAACGGGCAAAGCGUGUAAAAGGGCGACUGGGAGGGGGAAGCAAGCCCAGGAGUUCGUAGAAGCGCGGCGUAAGUGCGACGAGGAUCGUUCCGUCUCUGUUCCUCGAAACGGGACGAGAGAGGCCGAGUGGUGCGGCGGUUGGGGAUAGAGGAUCGGCAAAGGACGAAGGGACUCAUCCUUGCGAAGGUCGAACAAGGACAGCGAGGGAUCGUGAGAUCAGAAGUUAACGAUCUUGUGAUCAAGAUUAAAAGCAAAGAAGUUUGUAAAGUUUUCUGAUCUAGAAGGAUAAAACGAGAAGGCGAAGCGAGAAAUAUUCUGCCUCGAGAUAAUUAUCUGGCCUUCUUUUUCAACGAGGGAGAUUCACAAAUGUGUCGAGAUUACAUAUUUCUCGCGGGGAUGAUGUAAAUUCUCCACGUCGAUUUUAAUUCGGGAAGAGAUGAAUAAGUUAAACAGGCUCGUUUUUCAUCAUGCAAGUAUUAAACCAUUUGGAGGAACUCGAUAGAAGAUAAAUUGAUUUAUAAUCGAUCGAGGAAAAAUUGGUAACGAAUCAACUUGAUCGAAACGACGAACGUGCGAAGUAAGGAUCGAAGCGUGACGUGGAGGAGGUUCCCUCCUCGAGACAGAGAAGUGACUGUUUCGGAGGAACGAUAUCUCACAAGGAUUAACCCUUGAACACGCGGGAGAUGAUUUCGGUCAGGCGAAAAUGAUCCAGGAAUAUCCCGAUUUCUGACGAUUAACUUCCGUUCUUGGAUUCUUUCCUUGGAUUACGUGGAUGUUUGGAAAAGGAUGAUCCUAAUUGCUUCAAUUAUUUCUGUCUUUUUUGGGGCAGAAAUAGAGGAACGUUAAUGAAAAUAUAUUCGAUAAAUUUCGAAGUUAAUCGUAUGUUUUGUAAGAUUCGUGUAGUAAUUAUAUGACAAUUUUUGAUUAAACAAUUUAACAAGAAAUUGAUUAUUUAUUUAGCAAUUGUGUCGAAGAGGAAAAUGUUCAAGUAUCAUUUUAUUUUUUUUCUCCCAUCGCACAGAGUGCAAUUCUAGGAACACGUUUACAUCAAAAUCAAAGAUCCUUCUACGAAUUGAAAUUAAAUCAUCAAACCUUUAACCAAACCAACCUCUGUUGGACGAUCGUUCGAUAAUUUCGAGGUUGUGUCGUUUCGCAGGAUAUCGUUUCAAAAGAAGAAAAAAAGAAAAAGGAAAAAAAACACGUUUAUACGGUUUCUAAGAAGAAGAGGAAGAUUAGACAGCGAAACGACAAGAUGGUGGAACGUCAAUCCCGGAGCCCGUGUAUGAUAAUUCCACUGAAUUUAGUGGAAUCGAUGGAAUCGUCUUUCCUGCGAUCCUCGUGGCAUAAAUUUAGACUACCUGAUCCGUGAAAGUCUCUCUGUUUCUCGGUUACUCCGCACCGAAAUGGAAAUCUAUUGGUCCACCGAACGAGGAGAAAAAGUGGACGAGCCAAUGGACGAAACAUUCCCCGGCUGGGGAUCACGAAUUCGGAGCUGUUUCACUCGAGCAAGCAUAUAUCAUGUUCAAUACCGUGCUAUAUCAUAAUUCCGUUGGCCCUGUAUUCGUGAUUCCGCAGGAUUUUCGCCGAGAUUUUCGGCGUUAUAGCGUUUCGCGUUACGGUUUUGGGAGAAUUUAAUAUUAAUGAUAAUAUAUGCGUUUACGGUGGUCUUCUUUGGAAACGAGAUUGCGAACGAGUAGAAGUGGAAAAAAGAGAAAGAAGAAGAAGAGGAAAUAAGAG